UUCCCGACUCCUACGGGAGGCAGCAGUGGGGAAUAUUGCACAAUGGGGGAAACCCUGAUGCAGCGACGCCGCGUGAGCGAUGAAGUAUUUCGGUAUGUAAAGCUCUAUCAGCAGGGAAGAAAAUGACGGUACCUGACUAAGAAGCCCCGGCUAACUACGUGCCAGCAGCCGCGGUAAUACGUAGGGGGCAAGCGUUAUCCGGAUUUACUGGGUGUAAAGGGAGCGUAGACGGCUGUGCAAGCCAGAUGUGAAAGCCCGGGGCUCAACCCCGGGACUGCAUUUGGAACUGUGUGGCUGGAGUGUCGGAGAGGCAGGCGGAAUUCCUAGUGUAGCGGUGUAAUGCGUAGAUAUUAGGAGGAACACCAGUGGCGAAGGCGGCUUACUGGACAGUAACUGACGUUGAGGCUCGAAAGCGUGGGGAGCAAACAGGAUUAGAUACCCCCGUAA
This 447-nucleotide ribosomal RNA is filed under the name uncultured bacterium. RNAcentral describes it as "bacterial SSU rRNA". It matches the Rfam family "Bacterial small subunit ribosomal RNA", at positions 329 to 793 of the family's 1533-position model. The record is from RNAcentral.